Molecule: ribosomal RNA, 377 nt
Filed under: uncultured bacterium
Lineage: Bacteria
Description: bacterial SSU rRNA
Rfam family: Bacterial small subunit ribosomal RNA
Source: RNAcentral
GUAGUCCACGCUGUAAACGAUGGAUACUUGAUGUUAGAGGUAUUGACCCCUCUAGUGUCGAAGCUAACGCGUUAAGUAUCCCGCCUGGGGAGUACGGUCGCAAGAUUAAAACUCAAAGAAAUUGACGGGGGCCCGCACAAGCGGUGGAGAAUGUGGUUUAAUUCGAUGCAACGCGAAAAACCUUACCUGGGUUUGGAAUCCCACGAAUACUGUAGAGAUACAGUAGUGUCGUAAGACACGUGGAGACAGGUGCUGCAUGGCUGUCGUCAGCUCGUGUCGUGAGAUGUUGGGUUAAGUCCCGCAACGAGCGCAACCCUUAUCUUUAGUUGCCAGCAUUAAGUUGGGCACUCUAGAGAGACUGCCAACGUUAAGUUGGA